GUGCUCACUUCAGCAGCACAUAUACUAAAAUUGGAACAAUGCAGAGAAGAUUAGCAUAGUCCCUGUACAAUGAUGAUACCCAAAUUUUGUGACACAUUCCAUAUUUUU
Molecule: small nuclear RNA, 108 nt
Organism: Nannospalax galili (Upper Galilee mountains blind mole rat)
Lineage: Eukaryota; Metazoa; Chordata; Mammalia; Rodentia; Spalacidae
Source: Ensembl